UGCCUUACAUUGACGGAUCAGACAGCAGU
This 29-nucleotide non-coding RNA is filed under the name Rattus norvegicus (Norway rat). Lineage: Eukaryota; Metazoa; Chordata; Mammalia; Rodentia; Muridae. The record is from RNAcentral.